Molecule: ribosomal RNA, 460 nt
Filed under: uncultured bacterium
Lineage: Bacteria
Description: partial 16S ribosomal RNA
Rfam family: Bacterial small subunit ribosomal RNA
Source: RNAcentral
CCUACGGGUGGCAGCAGUGAGGAAUAUUGGUCAAUGGUCGGGAGACUGAACCAGCCAAGCCGCGUGAGGGAUGAAGGUACAGAGUAUCGUAAACCUCUUUUGUCAGGGAACAAAGGCGGGCACGUGUCCCCGGAUGAGUGUACCUGAAGAAAAAGCAUCGGCUAACUCCGUGCCAGCAGCCGCGGUAAUACGGAGGAUGCGAGCGUUAUCCGGAUUUAUUGGGUUUAAAGGGUGCGCAGGCGGGGUGUUAAGUCAGCGGUCAAAACCCGGGGCUCAACCCCCGGCCCGCAGUUGAACUUGGCAGUCUUGAGUAGGAGAGAAGUAUGCGGAAUGCGCGGUGUAGCGGUGAAAUGCAUAGAUAGCGCGCAGAACUCCGAUUGCGAAGGCAGCAUGCCGGAUCCACACUGACGCUGAGGCACGAAAGCGUGGGGAGCGAACAGGAGUAGAUACCCUAGUAGUC